Molecule: unclassified non-coding RNA, 253 nt
Filed under: uncultured Hymenobacteraceae bacterium
Lineage: Bacteria; Pseudomonadati; Bacteroidota; Cytophagia; Cytophagales; Hymenobacteraceae
Description: contains 16S-23S intergenic spacer region
Rfam family: Bacterial small subunit ribosomal RNA
Source: RNAcentral
UACGUAGGGGGCAAGCGUUGUCCGGAUUUAUUGGGUUUAAAGGGUGCGUAGGCGGCCCGUUAAGUCAGUGGUGAAAUCCCGGGGCUCAACCCCGGAACUGCCAUUGAUACUGGCGGGCUUGAGUUCGGUCGAGGCGGGCGGAAUUGGUGGUGUAGCGGUGAAAUGCAUAGAUACCAUCAAGAACCCCGAUUGCGAAGGCAGCUCGCUGGGCCGAAACUGACGCUGAGGCACGAAAGCGUAGGUAGCGAACAGG